GUGGGGAAUAUUGGGCAAUGGGGGAAACCCUGACCCAGCAACGCCGCGUGAAGGAAGAAGGUUUUCGGAUCGUAAACUUCUAUCCUUGGUGAAGAUAAUGACGGUAGCCAAGAAGGAAGCCCCGGCUAACUACGUGCCAGCAGCCGCGGUAAUACGUAGGGGGCAAGCGUUGUCCGGAAUGAUUGGGCGUAAAGGGCGCGUAGGCGGCCUGGUAAGUCUGGAGUGAAAGCCCUGCUUUUAAGGUGGGAAUUGCUUUGGAUACUGUCGGGCUUGAGUGCAGGAGAGGUAAGCGGAAUUCCCGGUGUAGCGGUGAAAUGCGUAGAGAUCGGGAGGAACACCAGUGGCGAAGGCGGCUUACUGGACUGUAACUGACGCUGAGGCGCGAAAGUGUGGGGAGCAAACAGGAUUAGAAACCCCGGUAGUCC
Molecule: ribosomal RNA, 425 nt
Filed under: uncultured bacterium
Lineage: Bacteria
Description: partial 16S ribosomal RNA
Rfam family: Bacterial small subunit ribosomal RNA
Source: RNAcentral